Xiphophorus couchianus (Monterrey platyfish) is the source of this 99-nucleotide long non-coding RNA. RefSeq lists it as uncharacterized. The record is from RefSeq and is a predicted model, not a curated record. NCBI's taxonomy places the organism in Eukaryota, Metazoa, Chordata, Actinopteri, Cyprinodontiformes, Poeciliidae. The transcript is spliced from 3 exons.
AGUGUCUUUGAUCUUAAUCAGGGGUCACCAACCUUUUAGAGACUGGGAGCUACUUCACGGGUCCAGAGUAACACGAAGGGCUACUUGUCUGAUACAGAC